GACGAACGCUGGCGGCGUGCUUAACACAUGCAAGUCGAACGGAAAGGCCCUGCCUUUGUGGGGUGCUCGAGUGGCGAACGGGUGAGUAACACGUGAGUAACCUGCCCUUGACUUUGGGAUAACUUCAGGAAACUGGGGCUAAUACCGCAAAGGAGCUCCUGCUGCAUGGUGGGGGUUGGAAAGUUUCGGCGGUUGGGGAUGGACUCGCGGCUUAUCAGCUUGUUGGUUGGGUAGUGGCUUACCAAGGCUUUGACCGGUAGCCGGCCUGAGCGGGUGACCGGCCACAUUGGGCCUGAGAUACGGCCCGGACUCCUCCGGGAGGCAGCGGUGGAGAAUAUUGCACAGUGGGCGGAAGCCUGAUGCGGCAACGCCGCGUGCGGGGUGACGGCCUUCGGGUUGUGAACCGCUUUCGCCUGUGACGAAGCGUGAGUGACGGUACUGGGUAAAGAAGCACCGGCUAACUACGUG
This 468-nucleotide ribosomal RNA is filed under the name uncultured bacterium. RNAcentral describes it as "partial 16S ribosomal RNA". It matches the Rfam family "Bacterial small subunit ribosomal RNA", at positions 28 to 507 of the family's 1533-position model. The record is from RNAcentral.